UUUCCGGUUGAUCCUGCCGGACCUCACUGCUAUCGGGGUGGGACUAAGACAUGCAAGUCGUACGCCUCCCAGCCGCCGGGGGAGGCGUGGCGCACGGCUCCGUAACACGUGGCUAACCUACCCUUGGGACGGGGAUAACCCCGGGAAACUGGGGCUAAUCCCCGAUAGGCGAGGAUGCCUGGAAUGGUUCCUCGCCGAAAGGGCGCCGGAACCGUGCUUCCGGUGUCGCCCAAGGAUGGGGCCGCGGCCGAUCAGGUUGUUGGUGGGGUAACGGCCCACCAAGCCGAUAACCGGUACGGGCCGUGAGAGCGGGAGCCCGGAGAUGGGCACUGAGAUAAGGGCCCAGGCCCUACGGGGCGCAGCAGUCGCGAAACCUCCGCAAUGCGCGAAAGCGCGACGGGGCCACCCCGAGUGCCGCCCGCUGAGGGCGGCUUUUCCCCGGUGUAGAUAGCCGGGGGAAUAAGGGGAGGGCAAGUCUGGUGUCAGCCGCCGCGGUAAUACCAGCUCCCCGAGUGGUGGGGACGAUUAUUGGGCCUAAAGCGUCCGUAGCCGGCCCGGCGAGUCUCCCGUUAAAUCCAGCGAUCUAAUCGCUGGACUGCGGGAGAUACUGUCGGGCUAGGGGGCGGGAGAGGCCGGCGGUAUUCCCGGGGUAGGGGUGAAAUCCUAUAAUCCCGGGAGGACCACCAGUGGCGAAGGCUGCCGGCUGGAACGCGCCCGACGGUGAGGGACGAAAGCCGGGGGAGCGAACCGGAUUAGAUACCCGGGUAGUCCCGGCUGUAAACGAUGCGGGCUAGGUGUUGGCACGGCUACGAGCCGUGCCAGUGCCGCAGGGAAGCCGUUAAGCCCGCCGCCUGGGGAGUACGGCCGCAAGGCUGAAACUUAA
This 883-nucleotide ribosomal RNA is filed under the name uncultured crenarchaeote. RNAcentral's name for it is "bacterial SSU rRNA". It matches the Rfam family "Archaeal small subunit ribosomal RNA", at positions 1 to 859 of the family's 1478-position model. Lineage: Archaea; Thermoproteati; Thermoproteota. The record is from RNAcentral.